This 449-nucleotide ribosomal RNA is filed under the name uncultured bacterium. Its description in RNAcentral is "bacterial SSU rRNA". It matches the Rfam family "Bacterial small subunit ribosomal RNA", at positions 354 to 796 of the family's 1533-position model. The record is from RNAcentral.
GUAGGGAAUCUUCCGCAAUGGGCGAAAGCCUGACGGAGCAACGCCGCGUGAGUGAUGAAGGUUUUCGGAUCGUAAAGCUCUGUUGCCAGGGAAGAACGUCGGAUAGAGUAACUGCUAUCCGAGUGACGGUACCUGAGAAGAAAGCCCCGGCUAACUACGUGCCAGCAGCCGCGGUAAUACGUAGGGGGCAAGCGUUGUCCGGAAUUAUUGGGCGUAAAGCGCGCGCAGGCGGUCACUUAAGUCUGGUGUUUAAGGCUAGGGCUCAACUCUAGUUCGCACUGGAAACUGGGUGACUUGAGUGCAGAAGAGGAAAGUGGAAUUCCACGUGUAGCGGUGAAAUGCGUAGAGAUGUGGAGGAACACCAGUGGCGAAGGCGACUUUCUGGGCUGUAACUGACGCUGAGGCGCGAAAGCGUGGGGAGCAAACAGGAUUAGAUACCCUAGUAGUCC